GCGAGUUCUAAACUCCAACCCUCGUGGACAUACCUAUCGUUGCUUCGGCGGGGGCCCCCUCGCAGGGGGGCAGCAGGGCCCGCCCCUGCGCCCGCCGGUGGCACGCCAACCAAAACCUGAAUCACAGUCGCAUUCUGAGUGGACUACAAAAUAAGUCA
RNAcentral lists this unclassified non-coding RNA (158 nucleotides) under soil metagenome. RNAcentral's name for it is "partial internal transcribed spacer 1". The record is from RNAcentral.